This 126-nucleotide microRNA precursor is filed under the name Myotis davidii. RNAcentral describes it as "mir-9193 microRNA precursor family". It matches the Rfam family "mir-9193 microRNA precursor family". Lineage: Eukaryota; Metazoa; Chordata; Mammalia; Chiroptera; Vespertilionidae. The record is from Rfam by way of RNAcentral.
CAUGCACCAGUGGGGUCCCUCGGCCAGGUCUGCAUUCUCUCACAAUCUGGGACCCCUUGGGGGAUGUUGGAGAGCAGGUUUCUGCCCAAUCUUGCAGGCCAGGCUGAGGGACCUCACUGGUGCAUG